AAAGUUCGCAUAAUCCCAAAGCAACAACAAGAGAAAAAAAAAAAUUUGUUUGGAAGAAAAGGAGGAGAAAUGGCUAAGAAGAACGCUAUCAUCUUAUGCCUUUUCUUGGUUCUUUUCGUUUUCGUUGCAGCUGGUGGCGAAGCGAAGAAACAUAUUAAAAUGCAUCAUAAUAAGGUGGUGCAUCUCCAUAAAACGCACGAAACUUGCAAAGAAACAUGGGAAACCACAUGCGUGUUAGAAGAUGAUUGCAACAAAAAAUGUUUCCACGAUCAUGGCAAACAAGCUACAACUCAAUGCCUUGUCCAGGAAGGACCCACAGGCGGUGAUUUGUGCGUAUGCAACUAUGCUUGUUAGGAAAACCACAUUACAUCACAAUUCUUUUUAUGUUAUCCAAGAAAUAAGCAAUUAUUAUUAAAAAAAGAACAAUAUUAUGUUUUAGUAUUUUAUUUUCUUCUGAUUUUACGAUAUUGCAAGACAAAGAAGAACAAGAAAAGAAAAAUCUCAAACAAAAACAUCUCAAUGUGUCUGAGAUGCGACGAGCGGGUGAGAAGUUCCACUCAUCAUGGAUUUCAUUUUAAAACCCUAUUAUUAAGGCUUGAAAAGACUUAGGUUUUUUUGGAGGCUACGCAGGGUCAUGAAAUAAUAAUUGUGAAUACUCCGUAUGCAAAUAUCUUACAUAAUGACUAAUAUGCUUCCCAUUUAAUUUGAGAUAAUAAAUUUGAAUAACCUCACUAAUCAUAAUUACAUAUAUAAUCAAUUAAAAGUCAUUUUUUAAGUGAUGAAGAUGAAAAUCAAAACAACAAAAAAAAAUCAUAGGGAAAUGAAGAACAAGAGACAAAAAAAAAUUGGGAUUUUUUUUUUUGGAAAUGAGUGAUUCAAACAAAAAUUCUAAUAUAGGUGAAUCCUUACCUAUCAAUAGCUACGAAAAACGAUCAAUUCUUGCUGAUUUUUCAUUUGGAUUUUUUAAGUCCCUUGAAUUUUUGGUCAUUGUAACUCAUAUUAUUAUUUUUGCCCGCCCCAGACAUAUUUUCAGUCUCCGCGGCUGGUAGUAUCCAGACAAUCAAUCACUAUGAUAUGAUUUUGUCUUAAAUAUGCAUUAUAUCCAUUAUAUCUCCAUGAUAAUGAUAGUAUAUUUUGGUUUUAAAGCUACAUAAUAUUUGUGGUAUCUUGAAGUCCUGCAAUAUAUAGAUUCUCGGGUGUGUGGGAUAUAAAGUUCGCAUAAUCCCAAAACAACAACAAGAGAAAAGUUAAUUUUGUUCGGAAGAAAAGGAGGAGAAAUGGCUAAGAAGAACGCUAUCAUCUUAUGCGUUUUUUUGGUUCUUUUCAUUUUCGUUGCAGGUGGCGAAGCAAAGAAACAUAUUAAUAAAAUGCACAAAACUUGCAAAGAAACAUGGGAAACGGUAUGCGUGAUUCCAGAAGAUUGCGACGCAAAAUGUUUCCACGAUCAUGGCAAACAAGCUAAAACUGGAUGCCUUGUCCAAGAAGGACCCACGGGCGGUGAUUUGUGCGUCUGCAAUUAUGCUUGUUAGGAAAAUUACAUUACAUCGCAGAUUAUUUUUUUAUGUUGCCCAAGGAAUAAGAUAAGAAAUAUUAAUAUUAUGUUUUUUUUUCUUUCCUAAUUUUAUGAUAUUGCGAAACAAAAAAAAGGAAAUACAAGCGGUGCGUGAUUGUGAGCCGCUGUGUUGGCAUCAUAGUGUAUUUACAGGUACCCCAUCCUCAUAUACCAAUAAUUAUUGAAGAGUCGAAGUUGAUAUGGAGUGAAUUCCCGAAAUAGCUGGAAUUUUCUCAUUUACCAAGAACGUAUCACGAGGAACACUAUUGAGUCAUUUAACUGAUAUAAUUUCAUCUUCAUAUAUAAAUCUCGAGUAUUAUUGUAGGAACAUUUUUGCCACAACGGUUUCCAACGAGAUCUCCUCUCCCUCUUUGUAGUAUGUCAUAGGCUCGCAAUAUCCCAAUCUGAAAUUAAAUGAACACAAGAUAAUAUGUAAAUUUUCAGUAAUACUGGAUUAUGGAUAAACAUGUCGAAUAACUCACUUUUCACUCCAAUAAGCAUGUAAAUGAUGUUCGUUACUCCCUAAUCGUUACUCUCGCAUAUCUCUUUUGAUGUUGUCGAAUCUAAGAGCUGAUUCUCUCCAAUUGUGGCACUCAGGAUUCUCGAUGAGGUCUUCAACGAAUUCUUUAACUCUCUUCUGAAACAUAAAGUAAAUUUCAUUAGGAUGUUCAUGGAAGACGAGAAUGAGUUAUUUAACGAGUUCCAUUUCAUCUUCUGGUAUGCAUCCAUUUUCGGAGCUAUAUUUGAGUAGAACUGGAUGAUGUAGGAGCGAGAAAAAGUUUGAGAUUUUUUUUUGGAAAUGAGUGAUUCAAACAAGAUUUUUGAUACAGGUAAAAUCUUAUCUUAAAAAAAAUGAUAACAUAUAAAUACCACCAACAUCGAUAAGUUCUUUGCUGAUUUUUCAUUUGGAUUUUUAGGCCCUGAAAAUCUAAUCAUUUUAACUCAUAUUACUAUUUUAGCCACUCAGACAGAUUUUCAGUGUCCGCUGCUCGUAGUAUCUAGACAAUCAAUCACAAUGAUACUAAUUUGUCUUAAAUAUGCAUUAUACCCAUGAUAUCUCCAUGAUAAUUAUGGUAUAUUUUGGUUUUAAAGCUGCAUAAUAUCUGUGGUAUCUUGAAGUCCUGCAAUAUAUAUAGAUUCUCGGGUGUGUGUAAUAUAAAGUUCGCAUAAUCCCAAAAUAACAAGAGAAAAGUUAAUUUUGUUUGGAAGAUAAGGAGGAGAAAUGGCUAAGAAGAGAAGCUAUCAUCUUAUGCUUUUUCUUGGUUCUUUUCGUUUUCGUUACGGGUGGCGAUGCGAAGAAACAUAUUAAUAAAAAGCACAAAACUUGCAAAGAAACAUGGGAAACCACAUGCGUGAUAGAAGAUGAUUGCAACGAAAAAUGUUUCCACGAUCAUGGAAGAAAAGCUAAAACUGGAUGCCUUGUCCAAGAAGGACCCACAGGCGGUGAUUUGUGCGUCUUCAACUAUGCUUGUUAGGAAAAUCCAUUACAUGGGAGAUGUUUUUCUUUUUUGUUGUUGUUGUUGUCCAAGGAAUAAGAAUUAUAAGAAAUAUUUAUGUUUUA
Long non-coding RNA from Papaver somniferum (opium poppy), 3113 nucleotides. RefSeq lists it as uncharacterized. The transcript is spliced from 4 exons. Lineage: Eukaryota; Viridiplantae; Streptophyta; Magnoliopsida; Ranunculales; Papaveraceae. The record is from RefSeq and is a predicted model, not a curated record.